AACGAACGCUGGCGGCAUGCCUAACACAUGCAAGUCGAACGAGACCUUCGGGUCUAGUGGCGCACGUGUGCGUAACGCGGGGGGACCUGCCCUUAGGUUCGGAAUAACUCCCCGAGAGGGGUGCUAAUACCGGUUAAUGUCUUCGGACCAAAGAUUUAUCGCCUUUGGAUGGGCCCGCGUUGGAUUAGCUAGUUGGUAGGGUACAAGCCUACCAAGGCGACGAUCCAUAGCUGGUCUGAGAGGAUGAUCAGCCACACUGGGACUGAGACACGGCCCAGACUCGUACGGGAGGCAGCAGUGUAGAAUAUUGGACAAGGGGCGAAGGCCUGAUCCAGCAAUGCCGCGGGAGUGAUGAAGGCCUUAGUGUUGUAAAGCUCUUUUAGCCGGGAUGAUAAUGACAGUACCGGGAGAAUAAGCUCCGGCUAACUCCGUG
RNAcentral lists this ribosomal RNA (433 nucleotides) under uncultured bacterium. Its description in RNAcentral is "partial 16S ribosomal RNA". It matches the Rfam family "Bacterial small subunit ribosomal RNA", at positions 29 to 507 of the family's 1533-position model. The record is from RNAcentral.